RNAcentral lists this ribosomal RNA (472 nucleotides) under uncultured bacterium. RNAcentral's name for it is "SSU rRNA". It matches the Rfam family "Bacterial small subunit ribosomal RNA", at positions 26 to 518 of the family's 1533-position model. The record is from RNAcentral.
AGGGCGAACGCUGGCGGCGUGCUUAACACAUGCAAGUCGAGCGGAAAGGCCCUUCGGGGUACUCGAGCGGCGAACGGGUGAGUAACACGUGAGUAACCUGCCCCUAGCUCUGGGAUAGCUCCGGGAAACCGGGAUUAAUACCAGAUACGACCACUUUAGACAUCUGUCGUGGUGGAAAGGAUUCCGGCUAGGGAUGGGCUCGCGGCCUAUCAGCUUGUUGGUGGGGUAACGGCCUACCAAGGCGACGACGGUAGCCGGCCUGAGAGGGCGACCGGCCACACUGGGACUGAGACACGGCCCAGACUCCUACGGGAGGCAGCAGUGGGAAUAUUGCGCAAUGGGCGAAAGCCUGACGCAGCGACGCCGCGUGGGGGAUGAAGGCCUUCGGGUUGUAAACCCCUUUCAGCAGGGACGAAGCGAAAGUGACGGUACCUGCAGAAGAAGCGCCGGCUAACUACGCGCCAGCAGCCGC